This 253-nucleotide ribosomal RNA is filed under the name uncultured bacterium. Its description in RNAcentral is "partial 16S ribosomal RNA". It matches the Rfam family "Bacterial small subunit ribosomal RNA", at positions 524 to 776 of the family's 1533-position model. The record is from RNAcentral.
UACGUAGGGGGCAAGCGUUGUCCGGAUUUAUUGGGCGUAAAGAGCGUGUAGGCGGCCAGGUAGGUCUGCUGUGAAAACUCGAGGCUCAACCUCGAGACGUCGGCGGAAACCAUCUGGCUAGAGUCCGGAAGAGGAGAGUGGAAUUCCUGGUGUAGAGGUGAAAUUCGUAGAUAUUCGCAAGAACACCGGUGGCGAAGGCGGUCUGCUGGGGUCGAACUGACGCUGAGGCGCGAAAGCAUGGGGAGCGAACAGG